Athene cunicularia (burrowing owl) is the source of this 3268-nucleotide long non-coding RNA. RefSeq lists it as uncharacterized. NCBI's taxonomy places the organism in Eukaryota, Metazoa, Chordata, Aves, Strigiformes, Strigidae. The transcript has 3 exons. The record is from RefSeq and is a predicted model, not a curated record.
GGGCCUUUCCUAGGCCGGUGCCUCGCCCUCGGGAGCCCCUAGGCCGCUGGAGAGGAGCAGCUUGGAUUUUUGCCCCAGGCUCCUUGGGGUGCUUUCAGCCAGCACCCGCUUUUUUUUUUUUCAGGAGGGUCCCCCAAAACGGGCAGCAGCACCACAGACACCGGAGUCUGGCCGGGCUGCCACCCCCAGAGAGCCUGUAGCUGUGUCCCUGCCACCAUUACCCCAAACAAGCAGCAUCAAACAAACGAUGGGAAUAAUAAGAGCCUGCAUUUAUUUUCUAAUCUGAUACUUUCAGGUCCUAAGGUGCAGAGGUGUAACGGGGUGGAAGGACCGUGAGAGAGGGACUGAGGAAUGAACAAGGAAGAAGUUACAUUUGCAACUGAGAUAAGUGUUGGAAAAAGAAAAAGAGCCAUAAUCAUGUUACCAGCCAACGCUCCACUGACCCAUGAUACAGGAAACUACAGAGGAUUAGGAACACUUUCCCUGGUUGCUCAGGCAAGAGCAAGGCACGGAAAUAUGAAAAGUAGCUCAUUCCUCUUCAUUGAAACAUGUCCUCAGAUGCCAUACGGGACGGUUGAUCUUCCUAAACAGACACUGUCUUUCCACUAUCAACCUGCUACAUUUCUUGCUAUUUUGAGUUCCUGGCUGGUACAUACAACCGAAACCAAACACAGGCACACCUCCAGGGUUCCUGGGCUUGCAGAGCACAGCUCCCCACAUUUGUCAGGAUAUUGGGAGUUGCAGAAGAAAUAGUGUUUGGCUCUUGGACAGUGCGCUGUCACUGCAUGGGGUUGGUGGGUGAGUGAAUGAAACCACAGCGUGGAGCCCACACACCAGCUGUUGAGAUUGCUCUCGCCAUUUCAGAGCAUUCAGUGGGAGCUCUCCAGAGAAACCCAGUCCCUGAAACACACAAUAUUUUCUGGAAGUAUAUUCAGCAGAAAGACUGAUACCAAAGAGACUUUACAUGCUAUCCCUGAAAUAAGUGGGACUAAUAUUUGGUCUCCCCAAGAGCAAAAUCUACAUAUCCCACUCAGCUGUGUUCACACUUGCUCUUCUCACACCUGUUUGUAUUCGAAGGCCUCGGUGCCUCUUCUGUGCUCAUCCUCUGGUCACACAGACGAUUCCCAAAGGGCAUCUUGGGCUAUUCUUUAAAACUAUGGAGGCUCCUUGUCAACUACUCAGUACAUUAUCAUGAUGUUUUCUCCCUCAGCCAUCAUUAGAGAGAGCCAGCAAACUCCAAUCCUCUUCAGGUCUGCCUAUCCCUUUUUUGAAGAGGGGCAUGAUGAUUAAGAAAUCACACAGUAAAUUCCCAGUUAAAGUGGUUUCCGAGUUCUGUCUGAAAAGGUUCUUCACCUUAACAGAUGACUUUCUGAAAGAAAACUCUAUACUCCAAAAGUCUCCAUAGAUUUACUCAACUUUUCUCUACAAGAUGAAGCUUUUAAGACUCCUCUGCCUCUCUACAUCCACAACUACAUGUAGUCAGGAGGCCAGCCUGCCUCACCCACAGUCCUCAGACACCUCCCUGUGUGUUCACACACACUCACCUCGAUGAUGACCCUCCACUGCUGAACACCAAAUCUCAUUUUACCAGGGCACAGGCAGCUCUAAACAUCUGCAGCUCUCCAAGAUAUUUAUGGCAGCUGCAGAGAGCUCUGUUAACUCUGUUACACAGUGGACAGGGCAGCCUAGUUAGAUGCCAGGUUCAAAAAGGACAAUAUGUCAACUGCUUUUUGACUGAUGUAUCCGGAACUUCUCCCACCAUUCAAGGGAAAUCCAGGUUGUCUCACACUUAGGAAGAAGAAAGGAUGGUCCCUUGCUCCCAUCAAGCUGGGGUUCUUCAAGACAAGAGUCAGCAGGACACCACUGCAUAUCCUCCAGCCCAGCUCUUCAGAGUGCUUUGUAACAAUACCACUGAAUUUCAAGGGACUUGAUGGAACAUCACAACGGUUCUGUGCAGAGUGAGGCAGAGGGCUGGUAUGUGGCUCAGAGAGAUAGGAGCGGAGAGAAACCACUUCUCGUCAGCGUGGAGCAUCUGUGCAGCUGCAGCAGGAUAACAUCAACACCAGCGUAUCAAAAAGGUACCGUUGCUGGAGGGUCACCCCGAGCACUACACUACGCUGUAUGACUGGUUGUGGGGCGUCCUAAUAUAUAUUUAAAGAUUUUUUUUGUGGAAGUGAAGCAUGCUUAUUCAUAUUUCGAGGAAUAAAGGCCUGUCAGAGGAAAAAAAAAAAGAAAAUCUAUUGUGUAGCACUGCAGAGGGAGGAUAAAUAACCCCCAAAGACCCCAUUGUACUUUGAAACUUGGGCAAUUAACUGUUUAGCAUAUGAACAAUGAGAAUUUCCAAGCAUAGAGGAGGAAGGGAAAAAUUCUCCAAAAUCUACUGUCCGAUCUCCUGGUCUCACAAGUGACAAAGGACCAUGACAUCACCUCAGGUCAAGACCCAGCAGUUAUGUUGCUUUAGAAUAAGCCACAUGAGUACACCUGGGCUGUACUCCAAAAGGUCUGGUGAGAGCUACUGUCUACAGGAUCAUUGGCAUGCAUUAGGAGAGGGCUGUCAAGGCACCAGAAUUUACAUAACAAAAGUAUCAGACUUUGGAAGUACCUUGGAGUCUCCUUUCUCCCCCAAAUCCUGCUCUUCCACAUUUGCUAUCCUGGCGUAUCCCACCCUGAGGAUAAAUCACACUUGGUUUCUGAAGCACCAGCGUUCAGAUGCUCACAUGAGACCCAAACUCACCAAGGCAUGAACCCGCAGACACAGUUGUAGUGACACUGCAGUCACUUUCGGAUCAUUUGCUUAUUUUGUUCUUGUAAUUAUUCUCCAUCUCUUCUCUGUUCUAAUGGUAAUAACAUUUGUAGCAAACACCUAUGUACUCGAGGGGUGGCUUGGGACAUACUGCUGCACACACAUCAAAAACCACCAGGCUUCAGAUGGUAUCAGUAUACCUCCAGUACAUCAAAUUACUUCAAAGAUCAAAACAUACUGUUAAAUUUGAAUGACUUAACAUACUGUAGAACCAAAAAAUGGAACAAACUUUCCCUUGAGGGAGGAUCCAGAUGACUCUGGUUGGUCUGUGUUCACAAAACAACCUCCCUCUGUUUAUGUAUCGCACUCCUCUUAUCUUGAUGCUACCUGAACACCUUUCCAAAGCAAUUAAAUCCAGGCAAGUUGUCAGGAAUUCUGACAUCAUCCUACAUUCUUUUUUUGUCCACAUCCAGGAGGAAAAAAAAAAAGAAAAAAAAAAAAGAGAUUAUUGUGGUGUUUUUCAUC